GCCUGGGUGGCUCAGUCAGUUGGGCAUCUGACUUCAGCUCAGGUCACCAUCUUGUGGUUUGUGAGUUCGAGCCCCAUUUUGGGCU
RNAcentral lists this transfer RNA (85 nucleotides) under Felis catus (domestic cat). It matches the Rfam family "tRNA". Rfam says of the family: Transfer RNA (tRNA) molecules are approximately 80 nucleotides in length. Their secondary structure includes four short double-helical elements and three loops (D, anti-codon, and T loops). Further hydrogen bonds mediate the characteristic L-shaped molecular structure. tRNAs have two regions of fundamental functional importance: the anti-codon, which is responsible for specific mRNA codon recognition, and the 3' end, to which the tRNAs corresponding amino acid is attached (by aminoacyl-tRNA synthetases). tRNAs cope with the degeneracy of the genetic code in two manners: having more than one tRNA (with a specific anti-codon) for a particular amino acid; and 'wobble' base-pairing, i.e. permitting non-standard base-pairing at the 3rd anti-codon position. The record is from Rfam by way of RNAcentral. Lineage: Eukaryota; Metazoa; Chordata; Mammalia; Carnivora; Felidae.